AAUCCCUUCUCUCUUCCUAGUUUCAAUUUCAAACCCUAACUCUCUCGAUCUCUCUGUUUGAACUAGCUUCUGUAAUUUCAACUGCAACACACAUGGCACAGCAAAAGACGGACUACUAGUCGAUCUAUCUAUACGAGCAGAUGGACAACCGCUGAAAUUCUGAUUGAUUUGGGAAGAAAUGGCGCCCUAAGCUUAUCCUCGAACAACCUCACAAAAUCGAUCCCUUCCGGCAUCUCAACCACUAUCGCUCCUCCCUCUCCACCUUGACGCUGAUGUCGCCGAAAGAUCUGUACCAUUUUCUCGGAGAGCCGUUUUCUUUGGGGUUGAGGUGAUAACCCACUUCGUACUGUGCUCCAACCGAAGGUUUGGUCCUUCUCCUUUAUUUUUCCAAAAUCUGAUCUAAAUAGGUUUGUUGCUCUCUCUCUCUCUCUCUCUCUCUCUCUCUCUCUCUCUCUCUCUCUCUCUCUCUUUCACACACACACACACACACACAGUCGAUCUGCCAUUGAACAGGAGAUUGAACCAUAGCACGAACUCAGCCACAAACCUAGUUGUAGUGGCGAUUAUCUUAAAUAUUUGACUGACAUAUAUGUACGGUUAAGCAAUUUUAGGGUUGGAUUUUGGGGGUUUGUGAUUCUGCAUUGUUUAUUAGAAAUUAGUGGUUUUUUUUUGUUUAUGUGAUUUCUGGGGUUUGUGAUUCUAGGAUUUGGGCUUUUGUGUCGAUUCAUUCCAACCUACUUGCUAUUUGUCUCAAAAUUCGCUAUUCGGAGUUGGUAGUAUAUUUUGUUCUCUUCAUUGAAUGUGCCGAUCAACAUUCCAAUCCUGAACCACAUUGUUUGACUCAGUGUAAUUGAGUUGUGAACUUGUGAUCUAGGUAUAUUUUUGAAAUGCCAGGAUUAUUUUGCUAAUCCUGACUUUGGAUAAUCAUGUGAUUUUUGCUUGUUCUUUACCUACUGUUCUGAAUUUGGAAUCUGUAGCAAAAUAGAAGAAGAAAACAGUUUGUUUCUACUUAUCAGUUGACUGGUAAAUGCUCGGAAGUUUGAGAUUGCCGAUGACAUGUUCUGGAAGGAUGGUAAGCCUGUCCAAAUUAUUAGUGGGGAAAUGCAUUAUUUCCGGAUCCUCCCUGAGUAUUGGUAAGAUAGGCUAUUGAGGGCAAAGGCAUUUGGUUUGAAUACUAUUCAGACUUAUGUUCCUUGGAAUCUGCAUGAACCAAGUCGGGGGGAGCUUGAUUUCGAAGGCAUUGCAGAUAUUGUCUCUUUUUUAAAGCAAUGCCAGAAGCUGGAUCUCCUAAGUGGGAUUUGUGGGGAUUUCCUCCAUGGUUACUCGCCGUUGAACCAGCUCUGAGAUUGAGAUCAUCAGACCCUGCUUUCCUUUACUUGGUACAUUUUCCAUUUGUAUAAUCUCAUAUGUUAGAUAUCCUAGCAUAUGAAGGUUGUAAAAAUAAAUAAAAAAUUGGGUAACUGGGUUCAUGUGACUGGUCGAGUUUCAAUAGCUAGUGUUGCUCGUCCUUGUUCCCCGAAAGCAAUGAGGUAGUUGUUUAUAUGCAUUAUUUCAU
This is a long non-coding RNA of Rhododendron vialii, 1555 nucleotides long. RefSeq lists it as uncharacterized. The transcript is spliced from 3 exons. Lineage: Eukaryota; Viridiplantae; Streptophyta; Magnoliopsida; Ericales; Ericaceae. The record is from RefSeq and is a predicted model, not a curated record.